RNAcentral lists this transfer RNA (164 nucleotides) under Vibrio anguillarum. The stretch from base 46 to 118 matches the Rfam family "tRNA". The record is from RNAcentral. Lineage: Bacteria; Pseudomonadati; Pseudomonadota; Gammaproteobacteria; Vibrionales; Vibrionaceae.
AUGCUCUUAUAAUUCGCAGCCCUGAACAACGGAAACGUUGUGAAUGCGACACUAGCUCAGUUGGUAGAGCGCAACCUUGCCAAGGUUGAGGUCACGAGUUCGAACCUCGUGUGUCGCUCCAAAUUCUUUUCGAAGAAAAGAAUAGCGCCGCACAACCUAGUUAA